Molecule: unclassified non-coding RNA, 349 nt
Filed under: Hevea brasiliensis (rubber tree)
Lineage: Eukaryota; Viridiplantae; Streptophyta; Magnoliopsida; Malpighiales; Euphorbiaceae
Source: RNAcentral
GGACUGUCAAACAAAAUUAUGUGAACAUACUCUUGAUGCUUUUACGACUGAGACAAGCUUGUGAUCACCCUCUUCUUGUUGGAGGCUCCAACUCCGGUUCUGUUUGGAGAUCAUCUAUUGAGGAGGCCAAGAAAUUACCACGAGAGAAAUUAGCUGACCUUUUGAAUUGCUUGGAAGCUUCUUUAGCAAUUUGUGGCAUAUGCAGUGAUCCCCCUGAAGAUGCUGUUGUAACAGUUUGUGGACAUGUCUUUUGCAAUCAGUGCAUUAGUGAGCAUCUAACCGGUGAUGACACUCAGUGUCCUGUAUCUGCUUGCAAAGUUCAGCUGAGUGGUUCUUCAGUUUUCACUAA